CUUCCACCUGCUAAUAGCAUCUUAUUGCUUUUCAGGAUUAAAUAAAAGGAAAUGAGCUGUUUAAUUACAGUCAGAGAAAUUUUGCAGUGUUGUUCUGCCUUGGAUGGUGACAGCAAUGCUGAAAUGUGUUUAAGGACACGGCUAUAUGAACUGAUGGCUUCAGAGCCCAAGUCAGCUGGAUUUUGAAGCAGCAGCGAUGCACCGUAGCCCCCAUGGAGAUGUCAAAAAGAAAAGUGAGAGAGAGCCGCCAAACUUCACAAAUUUGUGUUUUUCAUCAGUAGGUUCUCCUGCACAAAGACAAAACAGAAAGGUCUUAAAAGCAGUGCUGUCAGGAAGGAUGAUCUGGAAAAGAAAAUUGUCUUUCUCCAGCUUCAGUGGUGGGAGUUUCUGA
This 391-nucleotide long non-coding RNA is filed under the name Cyanistes caeruleus (blue tit). RNAcentral describes it as "lncRNA (ENSCCEG00000003044.1)". The record is from RNAcentral. Lineage: Eukaryota; Metazoa; Chordata; Aves; Passeriformes; Paridae.